GUACUGAAGUCUGUAUAAAAAGUCUCGCCUGCCCACUGAAAAUUUUACAUGGCCGCGGUAUGUUGACCGUGCUAAGGUAGCAUAAUCAUUAGUUUUUUAAUUGAAAGCUAGAAUGAAGGGUUGGAUGAAAAAAUAACUGUCUCUAUUUAAUUUAUAAGAAUUUUAUUUUUAAGUUAAAAAGCUUAAAUUUUAUUAAAAGACAAGAAGACCCUUUAGAGUUUUAUAUAUUUAAAUUUAAUUAUUUUUAGUAUUUAAAUUAUUUAUUUUAAAAUAUAUUUAAUUGGGGUGAUUAAAAAAUUAAAUUAACUUUUUUUAUAUAAUUAUAUUAAUUAAUAAUUUAUUGAUCCAAUAUUUUUGAUUAUAAGAUUAAAUUACCUUAGGGAUAACAGCGUAAUUUUACUGGAGAGUUCAAAUUGAGAGUAAAGGUUGCGACCUCGAUGUUGGAUUCAAAUUUAUAAUUGGAGCAAAGGAUAGAAUAAUCAUGUCUGUUCUAC
This 494-nucleotide ribosomal RNA is filed under the name Acalymma vittatum (striped cucumber beetle). RNAcentral's name for it is "partial 16S ribosomal RNA". Lineage: Eukaryota; Metazoa; Arthropoda; Insecta; Coleoptera; Chrysomelidae. The record is from RNAcentral.